RNAcentral lists this ribosomal RNA (515 nucleotides) under uncultured bacterium. RNAcentral describes it as "partial 16S ribosomal RNA". It matches the Rfam family "Bacterial small subunit ribosomal RNA", at positions 355 to 860 of the family's 1533-position model. The record is from RNAcentral.
UGGGGAAUUUUGGACAAUGGGGAACCCUGAUCCAGCCAUCCCGCGUGUGCGAUGAAGGCCUUCGGGUUGUAAAGCACUUUUGGCAGGAAAGAAACGUCGCGGGUUAAUACCCCGCGAAANUGACGGUACCUGCAGAAUAAGCACCGGCUAACUACGUGCCAGCAGCCGCGGUAAUACGUAGGGUGCAAGCGUUAAAUCGGAAUUACUGGGGCGUAAAAGCGUGCGCAGGCGGUUCGGAAAGAAAGAUGUGAAAUCCCAGAGCUUAACUUUGGAACUGCAUUUUUUAACUACCGGGCUAGAGUGUGUCAGAGGGAGGUGGAAUUCCGCGUGUAGCAGUGAAAAUGCGUAGAUAUGCGGAGGAACACCGAUGGCGAAGGCAGCCUCCUGGGAUAACACUGACGCUCAUGCANGAAAAGCGUGGGGAGCAAACAGGAUUAGAUACCCUGGUAGUCACGCCCUAAACGAUGUCAACUAGCUGUUGGGGCCUUNGGGCCUUGGUAGCGCAGCUAACGCGU